AUUGAACGCUGGCGGCAGGCCUAACACAUGCAAGUCGAGCGGAGCGGCGGACGGGUGAGUAAUUCCUAGGAAUCUGCCUGGUAGUCGGGGAUAACGUCCGGCAACGGGCGCUAAUACCGCAUACUAUCAGAUGAGCCUGGGGCGGAUUAGCUAGUUGGUGGGGUAAAGGCCUACCAAGGCGACGAACCGUAACUGGUGUGAGAGGAUGAUCAGUCACACUGGAACUGAGGCAAGGUACAGACUCCGACGGGAGGCAUGAGUGGGGGAUAUUGGACAAUGGGCGAAAGCCUGAUCCAGCCAUGCCGGGUGUGUGAAGAAGGUCUUCGGAUUGUAAAGCACUUUAAGUUGGGAGGCGUUACCAACAGAAUAAGCACCGGCUAACUUCGUGCCAGCCGCCGCGGUAAUUC
Molecule: ribosomal RNA, 407 nt
Filed under: uncultured bacterium
Lineage: Bacteria
Description: partial 16S ribosomal RNA
Rfam family: Bacterial small subunit ribosomal RNA
Source: RNAcentral